Molecule: small nuclear RNA, 107 nt
Organism: Cavia porcellus (domestic guinea pig)
Lineage: Eukaryota; Metazoa; Chordata; Mammalia; Rodentia; Caviidae
Source: Ensembl
GUGAUUGUUUCAACAGCACAUAUACUAAAAUUGGAACGAUACAGAGAAGAUUAGCAUGGCCCCUGUGCAAGGAUGACACACAAAUUCGUGAAGCAUUCCCCAUUUAA